Molecule: ribosomal RNA, 249 nt
Filed under: Salmonella enterica
Lineage: Bacteria; Pseudomonadati; Pseudomonadota; Gammaproteobacteria; Enterobacterales; Enterobacteriaceae
Also listed under: 1 other name
Description: partial 16S ribosomal RNA
Rfam family: Bacterial small subunit ribosomal RNA
Source: RNAcentral
AAAUUGAAGAGUUUGAUCAUGGCUCAGAUUGAACGCUGGCGGCAGGCUUAACACAUGCAAGUCGAACGGUAACAGGAAGCAGCUUGCUGCUUUGCUGACGAGUGGCGGACGGGUGAGUAAUGUCUGGGAAACUGCCUGAUGGAGGGGGAUAACUACUGGAAACGGUGGCUAAUACCGCAUAACGUCGCAAGACCAAAGAGGGGGACCUUCGGGCCUCUUGCCAUCAGAUGUGCCCAGAUGGGAUUAGCU